AUUGAACGCUGGCGGCAGGCCUAACACAUGCAAGUCGAGCGAGGGGCGGACGGGUGCGUAAUGUAUGGGAAACUGCCUGAUAGAGGGGGAUCACUACUGGAAACGGUAGCUAAUACCGCAUACUAUCGGAUGAACCCAUAUGGGAUUAGCUAGUUGGUGGGGUAAAGGCUCAACUAGGCGACGAUCCCUAGCUGUUCUGAGAGGAUGAACAGCAACACUGGGACUGAGACAAGGGCCAGACUCCUACGGGAGGCAGCCGUGGGGAAUAUUGCACAAUGGGCGGAAGCCUGAUGCAGCCGUGCCGCGUGUAUGAAGAAGGCCUUAGGGUUGUAAAGUACUUUCAGCGGGGAGGCGUUACCCGCAGAAGAAGCACCGGCUAACUCCGUGCCAGCCGCCGCGGUAAUAC
RNAcentral lists this ribosomal RNA (406 nucleotides) under uncultured bacterium. Its description in RNAcentral is "partial 16S ribosomal RNA". It matches the Rfam family "Bacterial small subunit ribosomal RNA", at positions 30 to 526 of the family's 1533-position model. The record is from RNAcentral.